This is a non-coding RNA of Dallia pectoralis (Alaska blackfish), 72 nucleotides long. The record is from the annotation of a GenBank genome assembly. Lineage: Eukaryota; Metazoa; Chordata; Actinopteri; Esociformes; Umbridae.
GUUGGUGUAGCUCAGUGAUGGAGUGAGUGCUUUGUAUGUAUGAUGUUCUGGGUUCAAUCCCCAGGGUGCAUA